GGGUCAGUAGGUUGGUCGUGCCACCGGUACGUACUGGUCUCACUGAUUCCUCCUUCCUGAAGAACCGUAAUGCCAUUAAUUUGGUGUUGCGGGGAAACAGGACUGUUACUUUGAAAAAAUUAGAGUGUUUAAAGCAAGCUAACGCUUGAAUACAUUAGCAUGGAGUAAUGAAAUAGGACGAUCGAUCCUAUUUUGUUGGUUUCUAGGAUUGACGGA
RNAcentral lists this ribosomal RNA (216 nucleotides) under Glomeromycotina sp. RNAcentral's name for it is "partial small subunit ribosomal RNA". The stretch from base 40 to 216 matches the Rfam family "Eukaryotic small subunit ribosomal RNA", at positions 686 to 864 of the family's 1831-position model. The record is from RNAcentral. Lineage: Eukaryota; Fungi; Glomeromycota.